Molecule: long non-coding RNA, 1238 nt
Organism: Gasterosteus aculeatus aculeatus (three-spined stickleback)
Lineage: Eukaryota; Metazoa; Chordata; Actinopteri; Perciformes; Gasterosteidae
Source: Ensembl
CUUUUGGAUUGAAAAAAAUAUUUCUUUGAAUAUUAUUUAUGUGACAACAUAUUAUCCCACUGGUUCCCUCAAAAUAACAUUUUGAUUUCUUCCCCCGGAAUUGAGAAAACCAGAUAAGAUCAGUUUCUGUUUCCAUUAUUUUAUGUCAUUAUAUUGGUAAGUAUUGUCUUUUUUAUGUGGCAAACACAGAUUUCAGCCUUCACUUAUUUCAUUGCAUAAUUUUUCUAAUAUUUUGUUUUAAUAUUCUUUUGAACAUUUUUCUAUAUUGUCUUUAGUGGUUGAAUAUUUUUUAAAUAUUCUCCUGAACAUGUUUCAGAAUAUUUCUCUGAAUAUCCAGCAUCUUCUGCUGAAUUCAAACAAGCUGUUAUUGACUCACUGUCAUAGUUGGUAAAGUCUUCUGAUGUCUAACUGAAGAUCACGGAGCGAUGGUCCACCAGAGGAGAUGCUUGUAACUGUCGCCGUGUGGCUCCUGUGAGAACGUCUCUGCAGAAACCACACAGCAUCUGCUGCAGGAGAGGAAGUGGUGACGGGCUGUGAGCAGCUCGUCAUGAGAGCUAAUAACCACAGAGAACGUCUGCCACGCUCACCAGCUCCUCUUCCUCUCCUCUCUUCCUCUCUGGAGGCCUUUUGUGCACCCAGAGACCUCCGCUGACGACCCACCUGGAGGUCUCGUCGUGAACUUCACCGUGUGGACGAGACCCAGAAUCCUCUGAUGAAGCUUCUGGUCGGAGGUCCGUGGUCCAGGAAAUAGAUCCUCCUUCAGGAUGAUGGUGUUCAACUUGUGAAGAUCAGCAGAUGUUUGCUGAUCAGAGGGACAAACUGAUGGGAGGAGAUGAGGAGAGAAGUCCUACAUGUGAGCCGUGUUCCUGAGGACCAUCACCAGAGAGACUCCACAGCAGAACACCAGGCUCUUCACUAUCAGCACGACGUACAGCCGGCACAGCAGCUUCACCUGGUACGGAGACGGGCCCGGAGCUGACGGAGGAGCUGCCGGAGGAGCUGACGGAGGAGCUGAUGGAGGAGCUGACGGAGGAGCUGAUGGAGGAACUCUGUCCUCUGAAACAGAAAAGCAGGGACUGGUUGUGAGUGAGGAGCAUCAGGAGGAGCCUCCUCUGCUCCUCUGCUGUCUUUACAGCAGCGUCUCCACGUGAAGAUGAAGAUGAUGACCUCUGGUCACCUUGUUCGCUCGGGGCCUCCACCCUUCCCCCCUCGUGGUGGACGUAGCAGCGGUAUCGAUA